Molecule: ribosomal RNA, 463 nt
Filed under: uncultured bacterium
Lineage: Bacteria
Description: partial 16S ribosomal RNA
Rfam family: Bacterial small subunit ribosomal RNA
Source: RNAcentral
GACGAACGCUGGCGGCGUGCUUAACACAUGCAAGUCGAACGGAAAGGCCUUUUCGGAGGUACUCGAGUGGCGAACGGGUGAGUAACACGUGGGUGAUCUGCCCUGCACUCUGGGAUAAGCCUGGGAAACUGGGUCUAAUACCGGAUAGGACCGCACUUUAGUGUGUGUGGUGGAAAGUUUUUUCGGUGUAGGAUGAGCCCGCGGCCUAUCAGCUUGUUGGUGGGGUAAUGGCCUACCAAGGCGGCGACGGGUAGCCGGACUGAGAGGUUGGUCGGCCACAUUGGGACUGAGAGACGGCCCAGACUCCUACGGGAGGCAGCAGUGGGGAAUAUUGCACAAUGGGCGCAAGCCUGAUGCAGCGACGCCGCGUGGGGGAUGACGGCCGUCGGGUUGUAAACUCCUUUCGCCAGGGACGAAGCGUUUUGUGACGGUACCUGGAGAAGAAGCACCGGCUAACUACGUG